RNA transcript from Conger conger (European conger), 2742 nucleotides. It is a transcript of the gene named uroplakin-3b-like, with no coding region annotated. The transcript has 5 exons. Lineage: Eukaryota; Metazoa; Chordata; Actinopteri; Anguilliformes; Congridae. The record is from RefSeq and is a predicted model, not a curated record.
UCAUCAAUGGAGUGGGAUUCCAGACAUCCCAAUUAGCCGCAAUAUUUUGAAAGGAAAUUAAACAUUUCUGCAUACCAUGGCCCCUGUGGCCAUAGCAGUGGUGCUCGUAUGUGUCUGGCUUGGUGCAAACACCACGGAAGUUCCCGUUACCCCAGAAAUUUCCUCAACAGUAGCAUUAGGUAUACUGACAAGUAGAACAAUGAUGUUAAGACAGCCGCAGUGCUAUUUUGAUGAAGUGGAAGGCCUCCCCUGCUCUUCACACCAAUGUGAGAUAUGGCUUGUGGUUGCCAGAGGUAAUGGAGUUCAGAGGUUUGAGGGUCAGAAGACGAGCAGCGGCAUCUUGUCAGCCUCACCGUACCCCGAUGCCUUCCUGGAUGGCACGUCACCCAACUUCUUCAUCACCAGACUGGGAGUUCAGAGCAGCUUUCUCUGUGCGGAGCUGCCUGGGAUCAGGUACUUCCGGGUAGGGUCGGAGGGCAGGUGUGACACCACCAACUGCAAUGGGGUCCUGCCCACCGGAGCCACCAUCAGAGUGAAAUAUAUCUUGGUGGAUCCUGCAAACAAAACAAUAGAAUCUGGCACACGUUGGUCCCAACCCAUAACGCUAUUAACACGUAUGUGCACUGUCACUACCUUUCCAUGGAUUUUAAAGUCAGAAAACAUGGCGUCACUUUUUUUUACACUUUACUGUGUUGUAGCUUGCAUUUUAAAUUGAUAAAAUUUGAUUUAAAUUGAUGCAAUUUUUGCCCAUCAAUCUACACAAACAUCUGUCAUUAUGGGUUAUUGGUGGACAAAAAUGGCCAUUUUAUCCAUGUAAAAUAAAAUCUACAGCAUAAUAAAGUGUGCAAAAAAUGAAGGGGUCUCAAAACUUUCUGAAGCCACUGUAUACAAUAAGCUUUGUUUGGGACAAAGAGAUACAGUAUUUUUCUUGAUUCUUUUCGGUUUUCCUCAAUUUUAGGUUUUUAAUCAAAACAACUUGACUUGUUCUCAGCUUUUAUUGAAGUACAAUAAAAGGGCACCAUAAUGUUUGGGACAUAUUAAUGUGAUAUAAAUGUAAAUGUUUAGUGCCUUUUUGAUUUAAGAGAACUUGACAUUCACCAAUUUCCUUUUUCAGUGGUCUUCACCUUGUAGUAAAUGAGGGUCCAUAUUCAGCAACUUCAUUGUUUAGUUUUUGGCUCAAAUGUUUUCUGAAAUGUAGUUUAUCAAAGGUCCGCCAUAUUAUUAUGUUUUGCCAAAAACGAAGGAACCACAGUCUACCCAAUCAGGUAUCUGUUGGUAGUCCCUUGUUCUUGUUAAUCCCAUUGGCCGUCUAUCCAAUGGAACCCACCUACAGUACCAUAUAUUCUAUAUUAUAUAUUAUAACAGACAUCUUCAUUGAGGGCAGUUGCCUGAAGUUAGGUGCAUUUGUUGAAUAAGUGGCACACUUGUAUGGAUGUCCUUUUUUUGAAAAAUGUAUGAUAAGAAUGCAAAAUGUCUUGGAUGAGGUCUAUUGUCUUGCUGCAGGAUCAAGUGCCAUACAUGGACUCAUCUGUCCACAAAACCUUUUUCCAGAACUCUGCAGGCUCUUUAAGGAACUACUGAGCAAACUGUAACCUGACCAUCCUGUUUUUGCAGCUAACUAGCGGUUUGCAUCUACCAGUGUAGCCUCUAUAGAUCUGUGUGUGGAGUCUUCUGUGGAGAGUAGUCACUGACACAUCCACUCCUACCUCCUGAAGAGUGUUUCUGAUCUGACAGAAGUGUUUCGGGGCUUUUCUUCACUGUGGUGAGAAUUCUUUCUGUAGAGGUCUUCCUUGGCCGACCAGGUCCUUUGAUUACUGAGCUUCUUUCGUUUAAAUGAUGUUCCAGUUGAUGUUGGUAAGUCAGACUCAUAAUUGGCUUCCUGGACUUUUAUUGCCACAAUUCUGGUCCUCGUGUUGACAAAUGCCAAUAAAAGACUCCAAAGGCAACAAAAAACCUAGAAACCUAGAAUGCUCUCUUAAACCGGCAAGGAAGCAAAUGAACGCACCUGACCUUAUGAUACCUGGAAAUGGGCGUAGUGUGUAUAAAAAGGUUCUGUAAAUUCAAAAUGGUGAAACAAAAUUGGAUAAACAUACCAUUUGAUGAAAGCUGAGAAUCUGUACUUUAAUCACAUGUGGGUUGAUUGAUAACAAAUAAAAAUUUGUGGAGUAAAGAGCCAUAUCAACAUAAAAAAUUGUCCCGCAUGUUAUGGAGCUCUCUGUAUACAUUGCUCCCUAUGGGUCAAUUCAGUGUAAUGAUUCAAUAAUUAAUGAAAAUUAGUUAUCCAUCCAUCCAUUAUCUUAACCCGCUUAUCCUGAACAGGGUCGCAGGGGGGUUGGAGCCUAUCCCAGCAUACAUUGGGCGAAAGGCAGGAAUACACCCUGGACAGGUCGCCAGUCCAUCGCAGGGCACACACACCAUUCACACACUCAUACACUCAUACACUCAUACCUAUGGGCAAUUUAGACUCUCCAAUCAGCCUAACCUGCAUGUCUUUGGACUGUGGGAGGAAACCGGAGUACCCGGAGGAAACCCACGCAGACACGGGGAGAACAUGCAAACUCCGCACAGAGAGGCCCCGGCCGACGGGGAUUCAAACCCAGGAACUCCUUGCUCCAGGGCCAGCUCCUCCAUUGACGACUCAACGUUGAGACGCUCUGGGGCGAUGGUUGUGAUCACCGUCAUCCUCUCCUGUUCACUGGCGGUGCUGACGCUGCUGCUGGUCGUCACGUUGCUGCAGGGCGG